UUCCGACCGACAAGCUGUCUUCAUCAUUGUAUGUUAGGAGGACCUCUGACCGUACCUCAUUGAAAAGGUGCCACUCUGCCUAGUGACUGUAAACUAAACAAAAAUACUAACGUGAAGGUACUGAAGGAGAAGAUAACUUCCCAGUGUCUGGACAGAAGCUCAUAUAUGCUGGCAAAAUCCUGCAAGAUGACACACCUAUUAAAGACUACAAAAUUGACGAGAAGAACUUCGUUGUAGUUAUGGUAUCGAAGGCAAAGUCUGCCACAGCUGCUUCAACACCUUCCUCAGAGGCACCCAAGGCCCCUGUCCAGGACUCUGGGUCGUCUGCGGGCCCGGCCCCUGCAGCCAUCCCUAUCCCCCCCAGAGGAGCCCACACCUCCAGUCGCAGAGCCCCCAGCUCUGAUGUCCUCUUAGUCUUUCCCACAGUAGUUGUGGGUCAAGACUGUCUUCCAAACUGAUCUGUGAUGUAUGGUCUGUUACAUUGCCAUUCAUUGUUCCAUUACUUUAUUGUAUUUGUGGUUACAUUCAAAUCCUGAGGGAGUGCGUAGAUAGACUGUGCACAGACACACAAUAUU
Molecule: non-coding RNA, 575 nt
Organism: Salmo salar (Atlantic salmon)
Lineage: Eukaryota; Metazoa; Chordata; Actinopteri; Salmoniformes; Salmonidae
Source: RefSeq, a predicted model, not a curated record